UGGGGAAUUUUGGACAAUGGGGGAAACCCUGAUCCAGCCAUCCCGCGUGUGCGAUGAAGGCCUUCGGGUUGUAAAGCACUUUUGGCAGGAAAGAAACGUCGCGGGUUAAUACCCCGCGAAACUGACGGUACCUGCAGAAUAAGCACCGGCUAACUACGUGCCAGCAGCCGCGGUAAUACGUAGGGUGCAAGCGUUAAUCGGAAUUACUGGGCGUAAAGCGUGCGCAGGCGGUUCGGAAAGAAAGAUGUGAAAUCCCAGAGCUUAACUUUGGAACUGCAUUUUUAACUACCGGGCUAGAGUGUGUCAGAGGAGGUGGAAUUCCGCGUGUAGCAGUGAAAUGCGUAGAUAUGCGGAGGAACACCGAUGGCGAAGGCAGCCUCCUGGGAUAACACUGACGCUCAUGCACGAAAGCGUGGGGAGCAAACAGGAUUAGAUACCCUGGUAGUCCACGCCCUAAACGAUGUCAACUAGCUGUUGGGGCCUUCGGGCCUUGGUAGCGCAGCUAACGCGUGAAGUUGACCGCCUGGGGAGUACGGUCGCAAGAUUAAAACUACG
RNAcentral lists this ribosomal RNA (555 nucleotides) under uncultured bacterium. RNAcentral describes it as "partial 16S ribosomal RNA". It matches the Rfam family "Bacterial small subunit ribosomal RNA", at positions 355 to 904 of the family's 1533-position model. The record is from RNAcentral.